RNAcentral lists this ribosomal RNA (578 nucleotides) under Eiseniona oliveirae. Its description in RNAcentral is "partial 16S ribosomal RNA". The record is from RNAcentral. Lineage: Eukaryota; Metazoa; Annelida; Clitellata; Crassiclitellata; Lumbricidae.
AUAUCUCAUAAUCUUAUUAAUAUAUACUAAUAAAAACAUUAACAUACCAACUACUAAAUUAACUGCCAAAAUUAAAGUACUAAAAAGGAACUCAAAAAUAAAGUAAAGUAGUGAGCUCUCACGUACCUUGUGCAUUAUGGUUUUACAAGCUAAAAAUUAAAAAUCUACUCCCGAAUUCUAUGCGAGCUGCCAUUUAUAUAGCUUAGAGCCCACUAUUGGCUGUAGCAGUAACCUUAGAAAAUAUAGUGGCAGAGGCUACAUACCACACGCGCUAGAAAAUUGCUGGUUCUCAAUAAAAUUUAUAUAUUAAAACAUGCAGUACUUCCGCAAUGUAAGACUUUAGAGGAUAAGCCCUAAAGUCUAAAGCUAGAUUCAUCACAAAAUAACAAAUAGGCUUAAAAACAGCCAAUCUCAAUACUUUACCGUACUAUUUAAUAUAAUAUCUAAACAAUCUUCUGCAUCAACAAAUUGAGAUUUAAGUCCAACUCAAAAACUUAAGAUACUCUGUAAAAAUAAGUAUUAGUAACCCAGUAUUAUACACAUAUAUAAAUCCACCUAAAUUAAAUAAAAUCAUCACU